Molecule: ribosomal RNA, 616 nt
Filed under: Enterobacter sp.
Lineage: Bacteria; Pseudomonadati; Pseudomonadota; Gammaproteobacteria; Enterobacterales; Enterobacteriaceae
Description: bacterial SSU rRNA
Rfam family: Bacterial small subunit ribosomal RNA
Source: RNAcentral
UGCAAGUCGAACGGUAGCACAGAGAGCUUGCUCUCGGGUGACGAGUGGCGGACGGGUGAGUAAUGUCUGGGAAACUGCCUGAUGGAGGGGGAUAACUACUGGAAACGGUAGCUAAUACCGCAUAACGUCGCAAGACCAAAGAGGGGGACCUUCGGGCCUCUUGCCAUCAGAUGUGCCCAGAUGGGAUUAGCUAGUAGGUGGGGUAACGGCUCACCUAGGCGACGAUCCCUAGCUGGUCUGAGAGGAUGACCAGCCACACUGGAACUGAGACACGGUCCAGACUCCUACGGGAGGCAGCAGUGGGGAAUAUUGCACAAUGGGCGCAAGCCUGAUGCAGCCAUGCCGCGUGUAUGAAGAAGGCCUUCGGGUUGUAAAGUACUUUCAGCGGGGAGGAAGGUGUUGUGGUUAAUAACCACAGCAAUUGACGUUACCCGCAGAAGAAGCACCGGCUAACUCCGUGCCAGCAGCCGCGGUAAUACGGAGGGUGCAAGCGUUAAUCGGAAUUACUGGGCGUAAAGCGCACGCAGGCGGUCUGUCAAGUCGGAUGUGAAAUCCCCGGGCUCAACCUGGGAACUGCAUUCGAAACUGGCAGGCUAGAGUCUUGUAGAGGGGGGUA